UUUCCGUAGGUGAACCUGCGGAAGGAUCAUUAUUGUAUAACCGAGGUGCGAGGGCUGUCGCUGACCCGAAAGGUCGUGCACGCCCGAGUGCUCUCACACACAUCCAUCUCACCCCUAUGUGCACCACCGCGUGGGUCCCCCUUUGGCUUGUUCGGAGGGGGGCUUACGUUUUCACACAAACUUUGUAUGCAGUGUAGAAUGUAUUUUUUGUUUUUGCGAUCACGCAAUCAAUACAACUUUCAACAACGGAUCUCUUGGCUCUCGCAUCGAUGAAGAACGCGC
RNAcentral lists this unclassified non-coding RNA (282 nucleotides) under plant metagenome. RNAcentral's name for it is "partial contains small subunit ribosomal RNA, internal transcribed spacer 1, and 5.8S ribosomal RNA". The stretch from base 235 to 282 matches the Rfam family "5.8S ribosomal RNA", at positions 1 to 48 of the family's 154-position model. The record is from RNAcentral.